GACGAACGCUGGCGGCGUGCCUAAUACAUGCAAGUAGAACGCUGAAGAGAGGAGCUUGCUCUUCUUGGAUGAGUUGCGAACGGGUGAGUAACGCGUAGGUAACCUGCCUUGUAGCGGGGGAUAACUAUUGGAAACGAUAGCUAAUACCGCAUAACAAUGGAUGACACAUGUCAUUUAUUUGAAAGGGGCAAUUGCUCCACUACAAGAUGGACCUGCGUUGUAUUAGCUAGUAGGUGAGGUAAUGGCUCACCUAGGCGACGAUACAUAGCCGACCUGAGAGGGGGAUCGGCCACACUGGGACUGGGACACGGCCCAGACUCCUACGGGAGGCAGCAGUAGGGAAUCUUCGGCAAUGGGGGCAACCCUGACCGAGCAACGCCGCGUGAGUGAAGAAGGUUUUCGGAUCGUAAAGCUCUGUUGUAAGUCAAGAACGGGUGUGAGAGUGGAAAGUUCACACUGUGACGGUAGCUUACCAGAAAGGGACGGCUAACUACGUG
Molecule: ribosomal RNA, 497 nt
Filed under: uncultured bacterium
Lineage: Bacteria
Description: partial 16S ribosomal RNA
Rfam family: Bacterial small subunit ribosomal RNA
Source: RNAcentral